UGCAACUGUGUGUUUUCCUGGAGUCCUACAGGAGGGAAGGGACAGAUUAUCCAGAAUAUUCCUGAAAUGCAGAGCUUUCCUAUUCAUACUGACAUCUUGUGGCAGUCCGGUAUUACUGCAGCCUGCGUUGCCUGGUGAAUUGAACGUUCAGUUUUACCAAGAUUGAUUUUCCUCUUCCAUGCAGUAAUUGGACCAGAAGCUACUAAACCCCUGGCAGGUGCCAUGCACUGUGCUAAGUACUUGGGGACAUUCAGACAUACUUGUAGAAGAACGGUGGCCGAGACCAUUACCGGAAGCUAUGAUAAUAGCACGACCCUGAUAGAUAGAACUACAAAGAAUCAGCGAGCACCUGUCCUGCGGGUCCUGCGGGUUACCAGGGGCUCAGUACGAUCUCUACUAUCUGCUCUGCACUUAUUUUCCCAGUUAAUCUUCGUGAGGACCCUAUCUGCCCAGCUGGAUUGGAUAAGAGCAGGAUUUUCAUAAUGGGACUGAUUUAAACCACUUCGGGACCUCAGUAUCCCCAACCCUUCUGAGUUUGGGUUUUCUCAUUUGGAAGAUGAAAACAAUAUGUACCCCGAUGAGGACGUCACCAGUAAUGAAGGACCUCGGGAACAACAGGAGGUGAAGUGGGAAAGUACUCAGCGUAUCAGCAUAGUGGCAUCUAGGAAGCUCUCACAAUAAGUUGUAUUGUGUAUGAAACUUCUUUCUUUUCAUAGGAUAUGGUUUUUUAAAGUUCAUUUGGACCCCCUUUUGAACUAUUUCUACCAGCUUGCUACCAGACACUAUUGCUUGAUAGUCAAUGUGUUUGUUGUGCCCAAAUGAAUUGGUGACUUAGACUGUAUCAAAAUUAUCAAUUAAAAAAAAUGAGCAAUUCAUUCAGAAUCCUUGUGCAGCCAAGACAUUGGGUUUUGGUGUUUGCUCCCCGUUGAGCUGAGGGAAACAGUAAUAGUAGUGAGAAUCGUAAUAGCUACAACUUAUAAAGAGCUCACUCUGUACAGG
This 999-nucleotide long non-coding RNA is filed under the name Mustela putorius furo (domestic ferret). RNAcentral's name for it is "lncRNA (ENSMPUG00000025092.1)". Lineage: Eukaryota; Metazoa; Chordata; Mammalia; Carnivora; Mustelidae. The record is from RNAcentral.